RNAcentral lists this transfer RNA (81 nucleotides) under Paragonimus heterotremus. It matches the Rfam family "tRNA". From Rfam's summary of the family: Transfer RNA (tRNA) molecules are approximately 80 nucleotides in length. Their secondary structure includes four short double-helical elements and three loops (D, anti-codon, and T loops). Further hydrogen bonds mediate the characteristic L-shaped molecular structure. tRNAs have two regions of fundamental functional importance: the anti-codon, which is responsible for specific mRNA codon recognition, and the 3' end, to which the tRNAs corresponding amino acid is attached (by aminoacyl-tRNA synthetases). tRNAs cope with the degeneracy of the genetic code in two manners: having more than one tRNA (with a specific anti-codon) for a particular amino acid; and 'wobble' base-pairing, i.e. permitting non-standard base-pairing at the 3rd anti-codon position. The record is from Rfam by way of RNAcentral. Lineage: Eukaryota; Metazoa; Platyhelminthes; Trematoda; Plagiorchiida; Troglotrematidae.
CGCUUCGUAGCUCAGCUGGUACAGCGCUUGCCGCGUAGAGGCAUGGUGUUUCUGUCGCUGGUUCGAAUCCAGCCGAAGCCC